This 1370-nucleotide ribosomal RNA is filed under the name uncultured bacterium. RNAcentral describes it as "bacterial SSU rRNA". It matches the Rfam family "Bacterial small subunit ribosomal RNA". The record is from RNAcentral.
GAAUUCGCCCUUAGAGUUUGAUCCUGGCUCAGGAUGAACGCUGGCGGCGUGCCUAACACAUGCAAGUCGAGCGAUUCUCUUCGGAGAAGAGCGGCGGACGGGUGAGUAACGCGUGGGUAACCUGCCCUGUACACACGGAUAACAUACCGAAAGGUAUGCUAAUACGAGAUAACAUAAGAAAUUCGCAUGUUUUUCUUAUCAAAGCUCCGGCGGUACAGGAUGGACCCGCGUCUGAUUAGCUAGUUGGUGAGGUAAUGGCUCACCAAGGCGACGAUCAGUAGCCGACCUGAGAGGGUGAUCGGCCACAUUGGAACUGAGACACGGUCCAAACUCCUACGGGAGGCAGCAGUGGGGAAUAUUGCACAAUGGGCGAAAGCCUGAUGCAGCAACGCCGCGUGAGCGAUGAAGGCCUUCGGGUCGUAAAGCUCUAUCAGCAGGGAAGAUAAUGACGGUACCUGACUAAGAAGCACCGGCUAAAUACGUGCCAGCAGCCGCGGUAAUACGUAUGGUGCAAGCGUUAUCCGGAUUUACUGGGUGUAAAGGGAGCGCAGGCGGUGCGGCAAGUCUGAUGUGAAAGCCCGGGGCUCAACCCCGGUACUGCAUUGGAAACUGUCGUACUAGAGUGUCGGAGGGGUAAGCGGAAUUCCUAGUGUAGCGGUGAAAUGCGUAGAUAUUAGGAGGAACACCAGUGGCGAAGGCGGUCUACUGGGCACCAACUGACGCUGAGGCUCGAAAGCAUGGGUAGCAAACAGGAUUAGAUACCCUGGUAGUCCAUGCCGUAAACGAUGAUUACUAGGUGUUGGGGGAUUGACCCCCUCAGUGCCGCAGUUAACACAAUAAGUAAUCCACCUGGGGAGUACGACCGCAAGGUUGAAACUCAAAGGAAUUGACGGGGGCCCGCACAAGCAGUGGAGUAUGUGGUUUAAUUCGAAGCAACGCGAAGAACCUUACCAGGUCUUGACAUCCGAUGCAUAACACAGAGAUGUGUGAAAUCCUUCGGGACAUCGAGACAGGUGGUGCAUGGUUGUCGUCAGCUCGUGUCGUGAGAUGUUGGGUUAAGUCCCGCAACGAGCGCAACCCUUAUUGCCAGUUACUACGUUAAGAGGACUCUGGCGAGACUGCCGUUGACAAAACGGAGGAAGGUGGGGAUGACGUCAAAUCAUCAUGCCCUUUAUGACCUGGGCUACACACGUACUACAAUGGCGUUAAACAAAGAGAAGCAAGACCGCGAGGUGGAGCAAAACUCAAAAACAACGUCUCAGUUCAGAUUGCAGGCUGCAACUCGCCUGCAUGAAGUCGGAAUUGCUAGUAAUCGCGGAUCAGCAUGCCGCGGUGAAUACGUUCCCGGGCCUUGCACACACCGCCCGUCA